AUGGCAGCCACGCCAGCGACACCACAGGUGCACAUCGAGUCCAUACAGACGGGCUUGCCGACUCGCGCCAUUGAGCCAGACAGGACGCGCCACAUCGCUGUGACCGCGCCGCCACUCCCGGAGACCGCGCUGCAGUGGCGCCUCCGCGUGGUGCUGUACUACAGCGCCGAUGACGCGCCGUGGGAGGAAGGUAUAUGGGUAAGGGAGUCGCUGGGCGAGGCGCUGUGCUUCUUCCCGGAGAUGGCGGGCAGGCUCCGGCGCCGGGCCGACGGGGACGGGUCGUGGGAGGUGAAGCUGAACGACGCAGGGGUGAGGUUCCAGCAGGCGACGGUGGAGAUGAGCAUGGAGGCUUUCCUGGCGGACAAGGACCGGGCGCGGAAGGAAGCCGCGCUGGCGCCGUGGGUCGACGUGAGCGCCGAGGAUCCUGAUAUGUGCUCGCUCCUCUUCAUGCAGCUGAAUCGAUUCCAGGACGGGGGAUACGCCAUGGGAGUGAGCUGCACGGUGCUGCUGUGUGACCCGCUGUCGCUGGCGAGGUUCCUCCUCACCUGGGCGCGCACGCACAAGGAGAUCAAGGAGCAAAACAAGCUCGUCCUCAGGCCGAUGAUGCAGUACAUGGCAUACUUCGAGCGGCCGGAGAUCUGCUCCAAGCGCAACAGGUCCUUCCCCAUCGACAAUGUCGCCGCCGACGGUGUCCACGCCCAGACCGUGCUCUUCAGGACCACUGCCGGCGCCGCGACCGGCGACCUCCGCACGCUCGCUGCGGCAUGUAUCGACCAGGCGAGCAAGGAGCUCGAGGUGGACAGGGUGUCGCGGUUCACGCUCGUCGUCGCCCCCUGAGACUCCGCCCGUGGAGCGACGAUCGUCGAGACGUCGCUCACGGCGGAUGGCCUGAAGAAGGGUGGCGCCGGCCAUGCGCUGGAAGCCGCGGGGUGGAGCGAGCUGAGGCUGGAGGAGGUGACUCUCAGGGACGUCAACCCCGUGCAUGUGUCGUACAGAAUUGUGGCGGGCGGAGACGAAGGGCUCGUCGUCGUUAUGCCUGACGGCGAUGGUUUCCUCGUCACGGCGACUAUUCCGAAGUAG
This 1080-nucleotide ribosomal RNA is filed under the name Triticum aestivum (bread wheat). RNAcentral describes it as "partial small subunit ribosomal RNA". Lineage: Eukaryota; Viridiplantae; Streptophyta; Magnoliopsida; Poales; Poaceae. The record is from RNAcentral.